ACGAACGCUGGCGGCGUGCCUAAUACAUGCAAGUUGAGCGCUGAAGGUUGGUACUUGUACCAACUGGAUGAGCAGCGAACGGGUGAGUAACGCGUGGGGAAUCUGCCUUUGAGCGGGGGACAACAUUUGGAAACGAAUGCUAAUACCGCAUAAAAACUUUAAACACAAGUUUUAAGUUUGAAAGAUGCAAUUGCAUCACUCAAAGAUGAUCCCGCGUUGUAUUAGCUAGUUGGUGAGGUAAAGGCUCACCAAGGCGAUGAUACAUCGCCGACCGGAGAGGGUGAUCGGCCACAUUGGGACUGAGACACGGCCCAAACUCCUACGGGAGGCAGCAGUAGGGAAUCUUCGGCAAUGGACGAAAGUCUGACCGAGCAACGCCGCGUGAGUGAAGAAGGUUGUCGGAUCGUAAAACUCGGUUGGUAGAGAAGAACGUUGGUGAGAGUGGAAAGCUCAUCAAGUGACGGUAACUACCCAGAAAGGGACGGCUAACUACGUG
RNAcentral lists this ribosomal RNA (496 nucleotides) under uncultured bacterium. RNAcentral's name for it is "partial 16S ribosomal RNA". It matches the Rfam family "Bacterial small subunit ribosomal RNA", at positions 29 to 507 of the family's 1533-position model. The record is from RNAcentral.